RNAcentral lists this ribosomal RNA (273 nucleotides) under uncultured bacterium. RNAcentral's name for it is "partial 16S ribosomal RNA". It matches the Rfam family "Bacterial small subunit ribosomal RNA", at positions 524 to 796 of the family's 1533-position model. The record is from RNAcentral.
UACGGAGGGGGCUAGCGUUGUUCGGAAUUACUGGGCGUAAAGCGCACGUAGGCGGAUCAGUCAGUCAGGGGUGAAAUCCCGGGGCUCAACCCCGGAACUGCCUUUGAUACUGCUGGUCUGGAGGAUGAGAGAGGCGAGUGGAAUUCCGAGUGUAGAGGUGAAAUUCGUAGAUAUUCGGAGGAACACCAGUGGCGAAGGCGGCUCGCUGGCUCAUUUCUGACGCUGAGGUGCGAAAGCGUGGGGAGCAAACAGGAUUAGAAACCCCUGUAGUCC